RNAcentral lists this ribosomal RNA (253 nucleotides) under uncultured bacterium. RNAcentral describes it as "partial 16S ribosomal RNA". It matches the Rfam family "Bacterial small subunit ribosomal RNA", at positions 524 to 776 of the family's 1533-position model. The record is from RNAcentral.
UACGUAGGGGGCAAGCGUUGUCCGGAAUCAUUGGGCGUAAAGAGCGUGUAGGCGGCCCGAUUAGUCUGCUGUGAAAGUCCAGGGCUCAACCCUGGAAUGCCGGUGGAUACUGUCGGGCUAGAGUCCGGAAGGGGCGAGUGGAAUUCCUGGUGUAGCGGUGAAAUGCGCAGAUAUCAGGAGGAACACCAAUGGUGAAGGCAGCUCGCUGGGACGUGACUGACGCUGAGACGCGAAAGCGUGGGGAGCAAACAGG